AUUGAACGCUGGCGGCAUGCUUUACACAUGCAAGUCGAACGGCAGCGCGGGCUUCGGCCUGGCGGCGAGUGGCGAACGGGUGAGUAAUGCAUCGGAACGUGCCCAGUAGUGGGGGAUAGCCCGGCGAAAGCCGGAUUAAUACCGCAUACGACCUGAGGGUGAAAGCGGGGGACCGAAAGGCCUCGCGCUAUUGGAGCGGCCGAUGUCGGAUUAGCUAGUUGGUGGGGGAAAGGCUUACCAAGGGGACGAUCCGUAGCUGGUCUGAGAGGACGACCAGCCACACAGGGGGUGAGCGGCGGCCCCGGCCCCGAGGGGAGGCAGCGGUGGGGAAUUUUGGACGAUGGGGGCAACCCUGACCCAGCCGUGGCGCGUGGGGGAAGAAAGCCUGCGGGUUGUAACCCGCUUUUUUGGGGGAAAAAAUCCUCUGGGUUAAACCCCGGGGGGGUUGAGGGUACGGGAAAAAAAAGCACCGCCUAACUACGG
This 483-nucleotide ribosomal RNA is filed under the name uncultured bacterium. Its description in RNAcentral is "partial 16S ribosomal RNA". It matches the Rfam family "Bacterial small subunit ribosomal RNA", at positions 28 to 506 of the family's 1533-position model. The record is from RNAcentral.